Molecule: ribosomal RNA, 443 nt
Filed under: Pseudomonas sp. Z69
Lineage: Bacteria; Pseudomonadati; Pseudomonadota; Gammaproteobacteria; Pseudomonadales; Pseudomonadaceae
Description: bacterial SSU rRNA
Rfam family: Bacterial small subunit ribosomal RNA
Source: RNAcentral
GGGCCUUGCGCUUAUCAAGAUGAAGCCUUAGGUCGGAUUAGCUAGUUGGUGAGGUAAUGGCUCACCAAGGCGGACGAUCCGUAACUUGGUCUGAGAGGAUGAUCAAGUCACACUGGAACUUGAGACACGGUCCAGACUCCUACGGGAGGCAGCAGUGGGGAAUAUUGGACAAUGGGCGAAAGCCUUGAUCCAGCCAUGCCGCGUGUGUGAAGAAGGUCUUCGGAUUGUAAAGCACUUUAAGUUGGGAGGAAGGGCAGUUACCUAAUACGUGAUUGUUUUGACGUUACCGACAGAAUAAGCACCGGCUAACUCUGUGCCAGCAGCCGCGGUAAUACAGAGGGUGCAAGCGUUAAUCGGAAUUACUGGGCGUAAAGCGCGCGUAGGUGGUUUGUUAAGUUGGAUGUGAAAUCCCCGGGCUCAACCUGGGAACUGCAUUCAAAACU